RNAcentral lists this ribosomal RNA (435 nucleotides) under uncultured bacterium. RNAcentral's name for it is "bacterial SSU rRNA". It matches the Rfam family "Bacterial small subunit ribosomal RNA", at positions 958 to 1392 of the family's 1533-position model. The record is from RNAcentral.
AACGCGAAGAACCUUACCUGGUCUUGACAUCCCUCUGACGUGAGAGUAACGUCUCAUUUCCUUCGGGACAGAGGAGACAGGUGGUGCAUGGUUGUCGUCAGCUCGUGUCGUGAGAUGUUGGGUUAAGUCCCGCAACGAGCGCAACCCUUAUCCUUAGUAGCCAGCAAGUAGUGUUGGGCACUCUGGGGAGACUGCCAGGGAUAACCUGGAGGAAGGUGGGGAUGACGUCAAAUCAUCAUGCCCCUUAUGAUUUGGGCUACACACGUGCUACAAUGGCGUAAACAAAGAGAAGCAAGACCGCGAGGUGGAGCAAAUCUCAAAAAUAACGUCUCAGUUCGGAUUGCAGGCUGCAACUCGCCUGCAUGAAGCUGGAAUCGCUAGUAAUCGCGAAUCAGAAUGUCGCGGUGAAUACGUUCCCGGGUCUUGUACACACCG